RNAcentral lists this unclassified non-coding RNA (1768 nucleotides) under Nostocaceae cyanobacterium HA4199-MV3. RNAcentral's name for it is "bacterial SSU rRNA". The stretch from base 1 to 1164 matches the Rfam family "Bacterial small subunit ribosomal RNA", at positions 356 to 1533 of the family's 1533-position model. Lineage: Bacteria; Bacillati; Cyanobacteriota; Cyanophyceae; Nostocales; Nostocaceae. The record is from RNAcentral.
GGGGAAUUUUCCGCAAUGGGCGAAAGCCUGACGGAGCAAUACCGCGUGAGGGAGGAAGGCUCUUGGGUUGUAAACCUCUUUUCUCAGGGAAGAAAAAAAUGACGGUACCUGAGGAAUAAGCAUCGGCUAACUCCGUGCCAGCAGCCGCGGUAAUACGGAGGAUGCAAGCGUUAUCCGGAAUGAUUGGGCGUAAAGCGUCCGCAGGUGGCUGUGUAAGUCUGCUGUUAAAGAGCAAAGCUUAACUUUGUAAGAGCAGUGGAAACUACACGGCUAGAGUGCGUUCGGGGCAGAGGGAAUUCCUGGUGUAGCGGUGAAAUGCGUAGAGAUCAGGAAGAACACCGGUGGCGAAGGCGCUCUGCUAGGCCGCAACUGACACUGAGGGACGAAAGCUAGGGGAGCGAAUGGGAUUAGAUACCCCAGUAGUCCUAGCCGUAAACGAUGGAUACUAGGCGUUGCGAGUAUCGACCCUCGCAGUGCCGGAGCCAACGCGUUAAGUAUCCCGCCUGGGGAGUACGCACGCAAGUGUGAAACUCAAAGGAAUUGACGGGGGCCCGCACAAGCGGUGGAGUAUGUGGUUUAAUUCGAUGCAACGCGAAGAACCUUACCAAGACUUGACAUGUCGCGAAUCUUCUUGAAAGGGAAGAGUGCCUUCGGGAGCGCGAACACAGGUGGUGCAUGGCUGUCGUCAGCUCGUGUCGUGAGAUGUUGGGUUAAGUCCCGCAACGAGCGCAACCCUCGUUUUUAGUUGCCAGCAUUAAGUUGGGCACUCUAGAGAGACUGCCGGUGACAAACCGGAGGAAGGUGGGGAUGACGUCAAGUCAGCAUGCCCCUUACGUCUUGGGCUACACACGUACUACAAUGCGCCGAACAGAGGGCAGCAAGCUAGUGAUAGCAAGCAAAUCCCGGAAAUCGGCGCUCAGUUCAGAUCGAAGCUUGCAACUCAGCUUCGUGAAGGAGGAAUCGCUAGUAAUUGCAGGUCAGCAUACUGCAGUGAAUUCGUUCCCGGGCCUUGUACACACCGCCCGUCACACCAUGGAAGCUGGCAACGCCCGAAGUCAUUACUCCAACCUUUAGGGGAGGAGGAUGCCUAAGGCAGUGCUGGUGACUGGGGUGAAGUCGUAACAAGGUAGCCGUACCGGAAGGUGUGGCUGGAUCACCUCCUUUUUAGGGAGACCUAUACCCCUCAAGUAUCGAAAGCCAGUGUGCAAAUAGAUCACGAGAUGGUCAAACCUAGGUCGGUCGCAAGAAAAAUUGUCAGGCUUUCAAACUAUGAUUGGUUCGUAUUGGGGCUAUUAGCUCAGGUGGUUAGAGCGCACCCCUGAUAAGGGUGAGGUCCCUGGUUCGAGUCCAGGAUGGCCCACCUGAAGAAAGUGUGAAGUGUAAAGUAUGAAGUCUGAAAUAAUUAAUCAAAAAUUUCAGAAUUCACAAUUCAAACUUCAGACUUUGAUGAUGGGGGUUUAGCUCAGUUGGUAGAGCGCCUGCUUUGCAAGCAGGAUGUCAGCGGUUCGAGUCCGCUAACCUCCACCUGAAAAAAGAGAAAGGAAAAAACUCAGCAACGAGGCGAAAGCUAGACUGCUGGGAUGAAUACCAGCCAGAACCUUGAAAACUGCAUAGAAAAGCGAGAAAAGUAGGCAGUCAUGAGUCGGAGGUCAGAAGUCAUGGGUUUUUAGCCAUGGCAAAUGAACAAAGACUUGUGAACAAAAGCAGACACCAAAUGUUUAGUGGUCAAGCGAAUAAGAGCUAAUGGUGGAUACCUAGGCACACAGAG